AUUUGAACCAGACACCUUCUGAAUACAAAUCAGAAAUGUUACAGCCUGAUCCAGCUUGCUUGGAGAGUGAGCAGAGAUGUUGGCUCUGACGUACUUCUCUGUGUCCAAGGUGUAUGCUGGCAAAGAUACAUGAACCUGUUUAUCCACUUCCUGUGUUUCUGUGUCUGGCUGCAUUGUGUGUUAGCUUGGGCACUAUGGUCCUGGGAUCGACACAGCCUCUAACAGAAAUGAAUAUGAUGGA
Long non-coding RNA from Cryptotermes secundus, 241 nucleotides. RefSeq lists it as uncharacterized. The transcript is spliced from 3 exons. NCBI's taxonomy places the organism in Eukaryota, Metazoa, Arthropoda, Insecta, Blattodea, Kalotermitidae. The record is from RefSeq and is a predicted model, not a curated record.